UUUGUCUGAAAAUAUUGUUGAAAUUCCAAUAAACGGUUUCGAAUUUAUAAAUUCAGGUGUGAUUGACUCAAGGGUGAACAACAACACUGUCUUAUCAUAUGUGGUUGGUUGUUUAUAUGGAAUUGGUGAUAUCGAGAGUGUUGGUUCAAAAUAGAAGAAGAGGGAUAUCCACAUUCUUACAAAUUAUUCGGCUAAAGCAAAAAUUACCUUAUGAGAAGAACUUGAGGAGAAGUUUUCUCCUUAUUUGUAUAACAAUGAUGCUGGCCCAUAUAUAGU
Long non-coding RNA from Solanum stenotomum, 276 nucleotides. RefSeq lists it as uncharacterized. NCBI's taxonomy places the organism in Eukaryota, Viridiplantae, Streptophyta, Magnoliopsida, Solanales, Solanaceae. The transcript has 3 exons. The record is from RefSeq and is a predicted model, not a curated record.